This 254-nucleotide ribosomal RNA is filed under the name uncultured bacterium. RNAcentral's name for it is "partial 16S ribosomal RNA". It matches the Rfam family "Bacterial small subunit ribosomal RNA", at positions 524 to 776 of the family's 1533-position model. The record is from RNAcentral.
GACGUAGGGUCCAAGCGUUGUCCGGAUUUACUGGGCGUAAAGAGCGCGUAGGCGGUCUGUUAAGUGUAGAGUGAAAUCUCCAGGGCUCAACCCGGAAACUGCUCUGCAUACUGGCAGACUGGAGUGAUGCAGAGGUUUGUGGAAUUCCUGGUGUAACGGUGAAAUGUGUUGAUAUCAGGAGGAACACCCAUGGCGAAGGCAGCAAACUGGGCAUUAACUGACGCUGAGACACGAAAGCCAGGGGAGCAAACGGG